RNAcentral lists this ribosomal RNA (1627 nucleotides) under metagenome. RNAcentral describes it as "bacterial LSU rRNA". It matches the Rfam family "Bacterial large subunit ribosomal RNA", at positions 1314 to 2925 of the family's 2925-position model. The record is from RNAcentral.
AAAGGGGGUGAAAAACCCCCUCGCCGAAAACCCAAGGGUUCCUGUCCAACGUUAAUCGGGGCAGGGUGAGUCGGCCCCUAAGGCGAGGCUGAGAAGCGUAGUCGAUGGGAAACAGGUUAAUAUUCCUGUACUUGUUUGUAAUGCGAUGAGGGGACGGAGAAGGCUAGGCCAGCACGGCGUUGGUUGUCCGUGUUUAAGGUGGUAGGCUGGUUUCUUAGGCAAAUCCGGGAAACUAAAGCCGAGAGCUGAUGACGGUGACUCUACGGAGUCCGAAGUGGUCGAUGCCACGCUUCCAGGAAAAGCCUCUAAGCUUCAGUUGCAAACAAACCGUACCGUAAACCGACACAGGUGGGUGGGUAGAGAAUACCAAGGCGCUUGAGAGAACUCGGGUGAAGGAACUAGGCAAAAUGGCACCGUAACUUCGGGAGAAGGUGCGCCGGUGAGGGUGAAGCAUUUACUGCGUAAGCCCAUGCCGGUCGAAGAUACCAGUCCCCUGCAACUGUUUAUUAAAAACACAGCACUCUGCAAACACGAAAGUGGACGUAUAGGGUGUGACGCCUCCCCGGUGCCGGAAGGUUAAUUGAUGGGGUUAGCGCAAGCGAAGCUCUUGAUCGAAGCCCCGGUAAACGGCGGCCGUAACAAUAACGGUCCUAAGGUAGCGAAAUUCCUUGUCGGGUAAGUUCCGACCUGCACGAAUGGCGUAAUGAUGGGGGGGCUGUCUCCACCCGAGACUCAGUGAAAUUGAAAUCGCUGUUAAGAUGCAGUGUACCCGCGGCUAGACGGAAAGACCCCGUGAACCUUUACUGUAGCUUUGCACUGAACUUUGAACCUAUCUGUGUAGGAUAGGUGGGAGGCUUUGAAGUUAGGACGCUAGUUCUAAUGGAGCCGUCCUUGAAAUACCACCCUGGUAUGUUUGAGGUUCUAACCACGGCCCAUAAUCUGGGCUUGGGACAGUGUAUGGUGGGCAGUUUGACUGGGGCGGUCUCCUCCAAAAGAGUAACGGAGGAGCACGUAGGUUGGCUAAUCCUGGUCGGACAUCAGGAGGUUAGUGUAAUGGCACAAGCCAGCUUAACUGCGAGACAGACACGUCGAGCAGGUACGAAAGUAGGUCAUAGUGAUCCGGUGGUUCUGUAUGGAAGGGCCAUCGCUCAACGGAUAAAAGGUACUCCGGGAUAACAGGCUGAUACCGCCCAAGAGUUCACAUCGACGGCGGUGUUUGGCACCUCGAUGUCGGCUCAUCACAUCCUGGGGCUGAAGUCGGUCCCAAGGGUAUGGCUGUUCGCCAUUUAAAGUGGUACGCGAGCUGGGUUUAGAACGUCGUGAGACAGUUCGGUCCCUAUCUGCCGUGGGCGUUUGAGAUUUGAGAAGCGUUGCUCCUAGUACGAGAGGACCGGAUUGAACGAACCUCUGGUGUUCCGGUUGUCACGCCAGUGGCAUCGCCGGGUAGCUAUGUUCGGACAGGAUAACCGCUGAAAGCAUCUAAGCGGGAAACCUCCUUCAAGAUGAGAUCUCACUGGAACUUUAAGUUCCCUGUAGGGCCCUAGAAGACCACUAGGUUGAUAGGUCAGGUGUGUAAGCGCUGUGAGGCGUUGAGCUAACUGAUACUAAUUGCCCGUGAGGCUUGACC